RNAcentral lists this ribosomal RNA (200 nucleotides) under uncultured bacterium. RNAcentral's name for it is "partial 16S ribosomal RNA". It matches the Rfam family "Bacterial small subunit ribosomal RNA", at positions 8 to 202 of the family's 1533-position model. The record is from RNAcentral.
AGAGUUUGAUCCUGGCUCAGAACGAACGUUGGCGGCGUGGAUUAGGCAUGCAAGUCGAACGAAUCCCUCUGGGCUUGCUCAGAGGGGGAAGUGGCGAAAGGGGCAGUAAUGCGUGGGUAACCUACCCCGGGGAUCGGGAUAGCCUUCCUAACGGUUGGGUAAUACCGGGCGAUCCAGCGAGGAGACAUCUCUUUGCUGGG